CUCCCACCCUUGAAUAUUAUACCUUCGUUGCUUUGGCAGGCCGUGGAAACACCAGAGGCUCCGGCUGAUGCGUGCCUGCCAGAGGAAACAAACUCUGUUUUUAGUGAUGUCUGAGUACUAUAUAAUAGUUAAAACUUUCAACAACGGAUCUCUUGGUUCUGGCAUCGAUGAAGAACGCAGCGAAAUGCGAUAAGUAAUGUGAAUUGCAGAAUUCAGUGAAUCAUCGAAUCUUUGAACGCACAUUGCGCCCCGUGGUAUUCCGCGGGGCAUGCCUGUUCGAGCGUCAUUUCAACCCAUCAAGCUUCGGCCUGGUCUUGGGGCCUGCGGUUUCGCAGCCUCUAAACCCAGUGGCGGUGCUAUUGAGCUCUGAGCGUAGUAAUUUCUCUCGCUAUAGAGUCUCGGUGGUGACUUGCCAACAACCCCCAAUUUUUAUCAGGUUGACCUCGGAUCAGGUAGG
RNAcentral lists this ribosomal RNA (457 nucleotides) under Varicosporium elodeae. Its description in RNAcentral is "eukaryotic LSU rRNA". The stretch from base 133 to 286 matches the Rfam family "5.8S ribosomal RNA". The record is from RNAcentral. Lineage: Eukaryota; Fungi; Ascomycota; Leotiomycetes; Helotiales; Discinellaceae.